Long non-coding RNA from Corapipo altera (White-ruffed manakin), 1515 nucleotides. RefSeq lists it as uncharacterized. The transcript is spliced from 4 exons. Lineage: Eukaryota; Metazoa; Chordata; Aves; Passeriformes; Pipridae. The record is from RefSeq and is a predicted model, not a curated record.
GGCACGUUUUGGGGGGCAGAGACAGUGGGUACGUUGGGAAGAGGUGACUCUGCAGCAUGGGCAGGUUUGGGUACUGGGGAGGAACUUGUGUCAGCUGGGCAGGGCGGAUUUAGGGAAAAACCUCAAUGAGGUGAGGGGAGGGAGCUCUGCACAGAUGGAGGAAGAGCAGGUUGCCACAAAAAGGCGGAUUUUCAGGACUUUUAUUGACAGGAGGAGCCUGGGUUUGGUUUGUGGGCUGGGAAGUGAGGAAUGCUGCGUGGCACAUUCCAGGUGUGGAGCUGUGAAAGGGGGUGACUGGCAGCUCCUGCUGAGUUUUGAGGAGCUGUGGAGACCUGCAGUGGGCUGAGUUUGGGAACACAGGCAUUCCUGUGCCCCCUCCGUGGAAAACCUGUGUGUUUGUGGGAGGGACUGCUGGGGUUUGAACCCCAAAAACGGGACUGAGGGAGGUGAACGUUGCCAUGAAGAAGGCAAAGAACUGGAGCUGCCACGACCAUUUUGUGCCCUGGGCAAUAAAAUAGACACAGAGGAGGGCACAUUGGCAGCCCCAGUCACAAGCCAGGCUCCUCCUGCUCGGAUUCCGCUCACGGAGCGCGGUGGGAAGCGAUUCCUGUGCUGCUGCUGCUGCUGCUGCCCUUGGAGUGUCUUCUCCCCACUUUUCUGGCUCUGUGUGAGGCAGGCAGGUCGCUUCCCUUGCAGCUGUUCCAGGCAGGCCGGGUUGGACUGAGAGCAGCCUCUCUGCAGAGCCCAGGAUGAGUUCCAUGCUGACCUCGGCCAUCCGGAGCCUCCCCGUGUCCUCAGCCUGGGCUGCUGGGGCCUUUGCUCGGUCGCUCAGCUGCUCCUCACAGCUCCAAGCCACAGCCCAGCCCAAGACCAAGAAGUCCUUGGGCAAGAGUGGAGUGAAGAAUGUUGUGGUGGUGGAGGGCGUCCGCAUCCCGUUCCUGCAGUCCGGCACCUCGUGAGUAGCAAAGGGGAGGAAAGGACAUAAAACACCCCCUUUCUGUGGAAAAUUGGGCUGCCUGUUCUUUUUAAUGUGGUUAUUCUUAGGCCUAAAGGCUCUGAAGUGGCUGAGGCUGCUGCAGUUACUGCAGCUCAUCUAAUGCAAAAACAGGGCUUGGAGAGGGUUGUCCUUGUUUAUGAAUUCUGGGAAGAAUGAGGAUUUAUGCAGCGUGUCCAGAGGAACCUGGUGGUGAAUCUGUGGCAGAUAAAGCAACAAGUUUCACCAAACUAGCAGGGCAGGUGCCAGGAAUCUGCUGUAGACUCUCCCUCCUGGAUUGUUACACCACCAAAUUCGCAGCUGAACUAAGACUGGGCCUGACCCUUGGUCAGGAUGGAGAAGGGAUUUUUCCAGUCACUGCUCCUUUUUUUAGUGGGUUUAGUGCAGGGAUUGUGUGCUGAGCUGGACACAGAGAGUCUGCACAGCCUGGGGGGUGAGUCAGGACAAUCCCAGCACAAACACAGCCUGGGCACAGAAUGGAUUGGGAGCAGUGCUGGGGAGAAGGACUUGGGGGUGUUGGU